Molecule: long non-coding RNA, 475 nt
Filed under: Mytilus galloprovincialis (Mediterranean mussel)
Lineage: Eukaryota; Metazoa; Mollusca; Bivalvia; Mytilida; Mytilidae
Source: RNAcentral
AUCAAUACAAAAUAUGAUCAGGUAUUAUUUAAGUGACAAAAGGAUGUGUGUUGUGAUGCUUGUCAAGAGAAUGAUAUUAGAUAUGUAUGGUGCAUGAAUCUAUCUGUUAUAACAAAAAUGGUGUUACUGUGAAAGGUGAUAUUUAAAAUUGAAGUUAUCUUCCUUUGUCCUUAACUAGUUUAACGAGCUACCCAACACCACAGAGGAAGUGCAAACCUAUGCCAAUUGAGGUUAUGUCCUUAAUAUUUUUUGACAUUUUUUCCAUUUUCCAUCUCACUUUAUUUUAAAAGUGUUCAAAAUUGACCAUUCCAUUGUUUAAGAAGUAAUCUGUGCAACCCAUCCAUUUGAGUCUGUGAUCCCUUUAUUAUCAUUUAUCUUAGGCUGUUGAUACUCCAUGCACGUUAAGAGCCCCAAAUCAACGGAACACCUCUUUAAUUGAUGGUCAUUAUUUCAAAGUCAAAGCGAUGCCUCCAAC